This 763-nucleotide long non-coding RNA is filed under the name Homo sapiens (human). Its description in RNAcentral is "HSALNT0216679". The record is from RNAcentral. Lineage: Eukaryota; Metazoa; Chordata; Mammalia; Primates; Hominidae.
CUUUGAGUGAUUGUUUUGGAUAGUUUUUGUUUUCUUGCUGUCUGUUUAGAGUAGUGGUUCUCAAACCCUGCUUGGGCCAUCCCACUGGGGAGCUGGGACACCACCUGGCACUGUGGUGGCAGUGGGGGUGACACUCAGACAAGGGCCAUCGAGGGCCCCUGGACCAGAAAGCGAAGAGGGCGUUGGGGGCAGGAGGCCUGUGGGGCCAUGUGUGGGGGCCGUCUGGGUGGCGGGAGCUGUUGGGGCAGGGCUGAGCGCCCUCAGCAGCCCACUGGAGAAAGCGCUGCUGGGGUCCUCGUGUGGGGCCCAGGGCCCGACGUGGAAGCAAUGGAGGGCUGCAGGGGGUGGCAGUGGGGAUGAAUGAGUAAGGACAGAGUGCAGCCUGGGUCUCAGACAGGGGGUGGGGGACAGGCCACAGAGAUUCCCUAUCUCAGCAGAGAGGAGACAGGCUCAGGCUGCCACGCCUUGCCAAAACCCAGCCUGGCCAGGCCAGCCCGGCACCUUCCACCUAGAUAAGUUGUGCUGCUCCAGAGAAAGAGCCUGGGGUCAGAGUGGACCUGCGAUGCAUGGCACAACCUGCUGGACAGUGGCGAUGAGGGGUUCAGGGACCUGGGCACCCAGAAGCGGGCACCUGAUAUUCCCAGCAAGGUUUAAUCAAAAUGCAAUGCUUUGCAAGUCUUUACUGCUUGGAGGUGGCUGAGUUGGGGGCCCUGGGCAGGGGUAAGCUGGCAGGCAGUGCCAUGGCAGGCCAGGGUCCCCUCCC